GGCCGCGAAUUCGCCCUUAGGGUUUGAUUCUGGCUCAGGAUGAACGCUGGCGGCGUGCCUAAUACAUGCAAGUCGAGCGAAUGGAUUAAGAGCUUGCUCCUAUGAAGUUAGCGGCGGACGGGUGAGUAACACGUGGGUAACCUGCCCAUAAGACUGGGAUAACUCCGGGAAACCGGGGCUAAUACCGGAUAACAUUUUGAACCGCAUGGUUCGAGAUUGAAAGGCGGCUUCGGCUGUCACUUAUGGAUGGACCCGCGUCGCAUUAGCUAGUUGGUGAGGUAACGGCUCACCAAGGCAACGAUGCGUAGCCGACCUGAGAGGGUGAUCGGCCACACUGGGACUGAGACACGGCCCAGACUCCUACGGGAGGCAGCAGUAGGGAAUCUUCCGCAAUGGACGAAAGUCUGACGGAGCAACGCCGCGUGAGUGAUGAAGGCUUUCGGGUCGUAAAACUCUGUUGUUAGGGAAGAACAAGUGCUAGUUGAAUAAGCUGGCACCUUGACGGUACCUAACCAGAAAGCCACGGCUAACUACGUGCCAGCAGCCGCGGUAAUACGUAGGUGGCAAGCGUUAUCCGGAAUUAUUGGGCGUAAAGCGCGCGCAGGUGGUUUCUUAA
RNAcentral lists this ribosomal RNA (616 nucleotides) under uncultured bacterium. RNAcentral's name for it is "partial 16S ribosomal RNA". It matches the Rfam family "Bacterial small subunit ribosomal RNA", at positions 1 to 586 of the family's 1533-position model. The record is from RNAcentral.